GAUGAACGCUAGCGGCAGGCCUAAUACAUGCAAGUCGGACGGGAUUCAGGAGCUUGCUUCUGAUGAGAGUGGCGCACGGGUGCGUAACACGUAUGUAACCUACCUUUAUCAGGGGGAUAGCCUCUCGAAAGAGAGAUUAAGCCCGCAUAAAAUCACAGCACAGCAUUGUGUAAUGAUCAAAUAUUUAUAGGAUAAAGAUGGGCAUGCGGAACAUUAGCUAGAUGGCGGGGUAACGGCCCACCAUGGCGACGAUGUUUAGGGGAUCUGAGAGGAUGGCCCCCCACACUGGUACUGAGACACGGACCAGACUCCUACGGGAGGCAGCAGUAAGGAAGAUUGGUCAAUGGGCGGAAGCCUGAACCAGCCAUGCCGCGUGCAGGAAGACGGCCCUACGGGUUGUAAACUGCUUUUAUACGGGAAUAAACCCAGAUACGUGUAUCUGGCUGAAUGUACUGUAAGAAUAAGGAUCGGCUAACUCCGU
This 481-nucleotide ribosomal RNA is filed under the name uncultured bacterium. RNAcentral's name for it is "partial 16S ribosomal RNA". It matches the Rfam family "Bacterial small subunit ribosomal RNA", at positions 28 to 506 of the family's 1533-position model. The record is from RNAcentral.